This 374-nucleotide ribosomal RNA is filed under the name uncultured bacterium. Its description in RNAcentral is "bacterial SSU rRNA". It matches the Rfam family "Bacterial small subunit ribosomal RNA", at positions 525 to 896 of the family's 1533-position model. The record is from RNAcentral.
ACGUAGGGUGCAAGCGUUGUCCGGAUUUAUUGGGCGUAAAGAGCUCGUAGGCGGUUUGUCGCGUCGGAUGUGAAAACCCAGGGCUCAACCCUGGGCCUGCAUUCGAUACGGGCAGACUAGAGUAUGGCAGGGGAGACUGGAAUUCCUGGUGUAGCGGUGAAAUGCGCAGAUAUCAGGAGGAACACCGGUGGCGAAGGCGGGUCUCUGGGCCAAAACUGACGCUGAGGAGCGAAAGCGUGGGGAGCGAACAGGAUUAGAUACCCUGGUAGUCCACGCCGUAAACGUUGGGCGCUAGGUGUAGGGGACCUUCCACGUCCUCUGUGCCGCAGCUAACGCAUUAAGCGCCCCGCCUGGGGAGUACGGCCGCAAGGCUA